This 192-nucleotide small nuclear RNA is filed under the name Erinaceus europaeus (western European hedgehog). Its description in RNAcentral is "7SK RNA". It matches the Rfam family "7SK RNA", at positions 1 to 183 of the family's 331-position model. Rfam says of the family: 7SK was discovered as an abundant small nuclear RNA in the mid-70s but a possible function has only recently been suggested. The record is from Rfam by way of RNAcentral. Lineage: Eukaryota; Metazoa; Chordata; Mammalia; Eulipotyphla; Erinaceidae.
GGAUAUGAGGGUGAUCUGGCUUGUGACACCUGUCGUCCCAUUGAUCACCAGAGUUGAUGCAGCUGAUCUGGCUGGCUAGGUGGGUGUUCCCUACCUCCCUCACUGCUCCAUAUGUAUCCCCUGCCAUAGCAAGCUGCACAAAGGGUCAAAGAGGAAGGCCUUCUGUUGGUAUGCUUCUGGAUUCUGCUUCUG